UACGAAGGGGGCUAGCGUUGCUCGGAAUCACUGGGCGUAAAGGGUGCGUAGGCGGGUCUUUAAGUCAGGGGUGAAAUCCUGGAGCUCAACUCCAGAACUGCCUUUGAUACUGAAGAUCUUGAGUUCGGGAGAGGUGAGUGGAACUGUGAGUGUAGAGGUGAAAUUCGUAGAUAUUCGCAAGAACACCAGUGGCGAAGGCGGCUCACUGGCCCGGUACUGACGCUGAGGUGCGAAAGCGUGGGGAGCAAACAGG
Molecule: ribosomal RNA, 253 nt
Filed under: uncultured bacterium
Lineage: Bacteria
Description: partial 16S ribosomal RNA
Rfam family: Bacterial small subunit ribosomal RNA
Source: RNAcentral